UUUGGCAGCUGAUCUUGCCUUUUAUGUAGUUGGAUAUAAACUACCAUGACCUCGGCCUUUCCCAGUGGGAUGUUACUAAUGACUAAAAAACCAUUCAAGUUGCAUAUGCUAUUUUUGAAUUUGACAUCCUGUGUUCUCAAUUUUGAAUAAAUAUUGAACUUCUGAUAAUAGGAUUUCAAUAUCUUCAUUUUCUCAUUUGCUUCAUAAUAUUUGCAAUAGAGAUAAAAUUUUCAACAUCUGUAUUUUUAAGAUUUCUAUUACAGUUUUCGUAAAUAUGUAUUAGUUUCUCUUCUUAGUUGAUAGUUAUUUUGUAUGUUGAAAUUGUAGGUUCAAUUUAGUAAUUAAAUGCGCCACCAUUACUCCUGGUAGGCACAACUCAUCUUAAAUUGUUCGAUGCUAUGCAGUUGCUCUUCAAAUCAUUUUAUCUUUAAAAUAUGAAUCAGAUCAUUAUCCCUUCUACACAUUAAUAAAAGAGGAAAUGUGGUGUGCACUGUUCAUUUUUGUCCCCUCGUGUUCAUACUAAAGGAUAGGCACUGUUCAAAAACAAGUUCCAUACUGUUCAUCAAAACAUAUUUGGUAUGUAUUUGCCUUUUGUACCUCUUGUAAUACCAUUUAUACCUUCCUAAUCUCUCUAAAGAAUUGUAGGUAGCCAUUGACUCCGAUAGACUUUGGUGACGAGGACGACAAAGACGAAGACAUGAAGAAUAAGGUUUCGUCAUGAUUCCUGGAGUUGGACAAAAAAAAAAUUUGGGUUCUCUAUUUUCCUUCUUUCUAAUUCUACUUUCUAAGUUUAGUCGACAUUUUUCUUUGCUUAAAUUUGGAGGUUUUGAGUAUAUAUGAUUUCUGGGCAUCUCAUAAAUAGCUUAAAUAGUUCUUUAGUUUUGGGAAUUCCAUAUUCUGAUUUUUUGAGCCUAUAUCGAAGGAGACAAGUACUAUGGAGAAAAGCAACCAUUAAUGUUUGGGAACCUAAAAUACAGCACCAUCAUAACGAGUUCAAUUUGUUCCAAAUUUGGUUACUGGGUGGUUCAUUUGGUGAAGAUCUCAAUAGCAUCAAAGCUAGUUGACUUUGAGAAAUCGUUUGGCAAUGAUAAGAGAAGAAAAUGAAAAUCCAAUUUUGAGAAUUCUUAAAAUGAAGGAAGGAUGAGAAUUGACUCCCAAAAAAAGAAAGCACUGAACAUGUCUUCAAAGUCAUGCAUAGCACUCAACAUGUCUUUAGAGUCAUGUAUUCUCUCAAGAAGAAGAGCAGCAGAAGUAAAAGUGGUGUUCGUGGCAACUCUGUUUCAUUUGAUGAUAUUCGGGAUGGUGAUGAGCUGCAAGCUAUUAUGGCAUUUCAACGAGCCUUGAUGCUAAUUGCCAAACAAGUUUGAUGAUUAUCAUAUGAUGUUGAGUGAUUAGAAUUCUUCGAUGGAACGUGUAUCUGUGCAGACCAAGGGGUUUGCCUUUGGUCAGAUAAAGGACCAUGGAAAAUUCCUGAGAUACUAAAGAUGGUGCUUGAUGGUGAAGCACAACUGCCAGGAAGGUGGUUGAAAUUCUUAACAAUGAUGGAGAGAUAGUUUAUGCUAAACCCCACUACUAGAUUGUAUAGACUCUUUCUGUUGUGCAUAUGAUUAGGCACAACUACUCCACAAUAUUUCUGUUAUGUGAGAUUUUGUUUUUAUUUGGUUGUUGAAGUAGGUAAAAGGCAGUGACACCUCAAUUGUUGAAUUUGGUUCUAAAGCUGAAGAUAUUUCUUCACCAAAAGCUAUUAGGAGUUACUCGCACCUUUGAUUGAAUUCCGUUCGUGAGGAGGCAUAAGAGAAGAGAGAAGGAAAAACUUGUUCAAGCAUAUUCUUCUUAGGAUCUUGAAGAAAUUCUUAGCUCCGGUAGAAUAAGAGGAUGCUUGAUAAACCCAUCCGAGAAAUUGGAAGGAAAAGAGAAUAUUUACAAGCACAACAAAAGAAACUGAUUGUGGAGAUAAAAGGAAAAAAAAUGCUAAGCAAGGACAGAUGAAGAAACAAGCUGUCCAAAUUUAAAGCUCAAAUAACAGAAGUGAAAGGGAUAAUGAUGGACAAUAUUGAGAAAGUAUAGCAAGAGGCAUCAAAGAAGCCCAAGCACGAGAAGCCAAUAUAGGAGUCGUGAAAGAGACCUUCCUACAAGCCUUUUGGUCUGCGAACUUUGACAUGAUUGCAAGUCUAUUUUAAUGUUUCUUAAAUGCAAAUUCAAUUGCUAUUAUUUCUUGUAGUUGUUCAACCUGCUUCAAGCUACUUUCUUGUUAUUGAAAUUAGUUUAAAAGCAUUGAUAUCUUCUUCCCAAUUUUUUGAUUUCA
Long non-coding RNA from Olea europaea var. sylvestris, 2305 nucleotides. RefSeq lists it as uncharacterized. NCBI's taxonomy places the organism in Eukaryota, Viridiplantae, Streptophyta, Magnoliopsida, Lamiales, Oleaceae. The record is from RefSeq and is a predicted model, not a curated record. The transcript has 8 exons.